This 651-nucleotide ribosomal RNA is filed under the name Bacillus thuringiensis. RNAcentral describes it as "bacterial SSU rRNA". It matches the Rfam family "Bacterial small subunit ribosomal RNA", at positions 44 to 676 of the family's 1533-position model. Lineage: Bacteria; Bacillati; Bacillota; Bacilli; Caryophanales; Bacillaceae. The record is from RNAcentral.
GUGCUAAUACAUGCAAGUCGAGCGAAUGGAUUAAGAGCUUGCUCUUAUGAAGUUAGCGGCGGACGGGUGAGUAACACGUGGGUAACCUGCCCAUAAGACUGGGAUAACUCCGGGAAACCGGGGCUAAUACCGGAUAACAUUUUGAACCGCAUGGUUCGAAAUUGAAAGGCGGCUUCGGCUGUCACUUAUGGAUGGACCCGCGUCGCAUUAGCUAGUUGGUGAGGUAACGGCUCACCAAGGCAACGAUGCGUAGCCGACCUGAGAGGGUGAUCGGCCACACUGGGACUGAGACACGGCCCAGACUCCUACGGGAGGCAGCAGUAGGGAAUCUUCCGCAAUGGACGAAAGUCUGACGGAGCAACGCCGCGUGAGUGAUGAAGGCUUUCGGGUCGUAAAACUCUGUUGUUAGGGAAGAACAAGUGCUAGUUGAAUAAGCUGGCACCUUGACGGUACCUAACCAGAAAGCCACGGCUAACUACGUGCCAGCAGCCGCGGUAAUACGUAUGUGGCAAGCGUUAUCCGGAAUUAUUGGGCGUAAAGCGCGCGCAGGUGGUUUCUUAAGUCUGAUGUGAAAGCCCACGGCUCAACCGUGGAGGGUCAUUGGAAACUGGGAGACUUGAGUGCAGAAGAGGAAAGUGGAAUUCCAUGUGU